UACAGAGGUGGCAAGCGUUGUUCGGAAUUACUGGGCGUAAAGCGCGUGUAGGCAGUUUCGCAAGUCGGGUGUGAAAGCCCUGGGCUCAACCUAGGAAGUGCACUCGAAACUGCGAGACUUGAGUCCUGGAGAGGAAGGCGGAAUUCUCGGUGUAGAGGUGAAAUUCGUAGAUAUCGAGAGGAACACCGGUGGCGAAGGCGGCCUUCUGGACAGUGACUGACGCUGAGACGCGAAAGCGUGGGGAGCAAACAGG
This 253-nucleotide ribosomal RNA is filed under the name uncultured bacterium. RNAcentral's name for it is "partial 16S ribosomal RNA". It matches the Rfam family "Bacterial small subunit ribosomal RNA", at positions 524 to 776 of the family's 1533-position model. The record is from RNAcentral.